RNAcentral lists this small RNA (148 nucleotides) under Enterobacter cancerogenus ATCC 35316. RNAcentral's name for it is "GcvB RNA". It matches the Rfam family "GcvB RNA", at positions 1 to 141 of the family's 204-position model. From Rfam's summary of the family: The gcvB gene encodes a small untranslated RNA involved in expression of the dipeptide and oligopeptide transport systems in Escherichia coli. Lineage: Bacteria; Pseudomonadati; Pseudomonadota; Gammaproteobacteria; Enterobacterales; Enterobacteriaceae. The record is from RNAcentral.
ACUUCCUGAGCCGGAACGAAAAGCUUUUUUUGGAAUGCGUGUUCUGAAGGGCUUUUGGCUUACGGUUGUGAUGUUGUGUUGUUGUGUUUGCAAUUGGUCUGCGAUUCAGACCACGGUAGCAACGCUACCACUUUUUCACUUCCUGUAC